GACGAAGGGGGCUAGCGUUGUUCGGAAUUACUGGGCGUAAAGCGCGUGUAGGCGGUUGUCCAAGUCGGGUGUGAAAGCCUUGAGCUCAACUCAAGAAAUGCACUCGGUACUGGGCGACUAGAGGACCGGAGAGGAUAGUGGAAUUCCCAGUGUAGUGGUGAAAUACGUAGAGAUUGGGAAGAACACCAGUGGCGAAGGCGGCUAUCUGGACGGUUUCUGACGCUAAGACGCGAAAGCGUGGGGAGCAAAC
RNAcentral lists this ribosomal RNA (250 nucleotides) under uncultured bacterium. RNAcentral describes it as "partial 16S ribosomal RNA". It matches the Rfam family "Bacterial small subunit ribosomal RNA", at positions 524 to 773 of the family's 1533-position model. The record is from RNAcentral.